This 2085-nucleotide long non-coding RNA is filed under the name Salvator merianae (Argentine black and white tegu). RNAcentral describes it as "lncRNA (ENSSMRG00000001397.1)". Lineage: Eukaryota; Metazoa; Chordata; Lepidosauria; Squamata; Teiidae. The record is from RNAcentral.
CCAGGCGCUGCUGCGCCCGAGUCGAGGGGAGCGGCGCGGGAAGGGCAGCGAGCCGCCGACGCCCCUGCCUCAUCUCAAAGGCCACGCGAGCGAGCGAACGAACGAACGCGAGUGACUUGCUANGGACGACCCCCGCCCCCCGCCCAGCCCGCUGGCUGCCGCCGAGGAAAGGGCCCGGCCGGCCCCGCCUAGCUGGGCACCCCUGCGCGCUCCUACCUGCCCACCCGGCAGGCCCCUCUCUCGCAGCCGCCCGGCCGCCCGACGGGCACCUGGGGACACCUCCCUCCUUCCCUCCCUCCGUNCUGCCCGGCCCGGCCUGGCCCGGCCCGGCGCGGCGCCUAUGUACCCCCGAUCGCGCACCCACCUCCCUGCGACCGCGGCAGCUCUCAUGGCGAAGGCGGCGGUAGCAGCGACAUCUGGGACGACGCGGCGGCGGCGCUGCCUUCGGGGCCGAGGGCGGGAGGAGGGCGUCCGCCGCCUCCGCCGGCGCCGGCCGGGAGGGCAGGGGAAGCGGGGCGGCGCACGCGGGAAGGCACCGGCGGGCGGCGGCGGCGAGGGGGGCAGGGAUGUCGCGAGACGGGAAAAGCCGCUUGGCCCCUCCCGCCCGGCACCUCUUAAAAGGGCAACGGCGGCGGCCGGCGGGGCGGCCGCGGGCAGGGUCCGAGGCCAGGAGCAGGAUCGCCGCCGCCGCGGGCAGCGAGGUGCGCGGCAGGGACGCGGCAGGGAAAGAGAGCAACAGCGCGAGCCUCGCGGUCGUGGCGCCCUCGGGUACUAUGUUGGCAACCGCUGCGUCGCCUAUUUCUUUCAGGCAGUCCAAAAUGGUCAGCAGAUAUCAACAGAAAACAGAAGAGGACACUUCCAUCUCUGAGUUUGCUAAAAUCAACUUUUGGGAUNGGCUUCGCCAACAACCAAACCUUCAAUGGAGGGAAGGCUACCAUGAGGCACCAUCCCUGCUGACCUCUGGCUGCGUGGUAGGAAGGCCUGAAGUGGCUGAAGGAGACCUUUUGCCCUGGCAGGUGAUCUCAACCUUGGAGGAACUUCCGUCGCCCAAGGAGCUGUGUCAGAGGAAGAGGAAAGGUCCAAAACAAAGACGUCUUGACGGCGUCACAGCUUUGUCCGUCUGCUGUCAUCUCGAGGAACUGAAACGGCGACAAAACAGCAUUGAUGAGUUGAAAAGGGCUAAAUGGGGCAUGUGCUCAUCCCAGCAGCUCUGUGGAAGUGCAGAGGGCAGGGCAGACUCAUUCACACACAUAGAUGUUCGUGAAGAUUCCUUGAGCCCCUUUGCUGUAUUAAGACCACCUGCCCGACCCUGUGGAGAGAAUUCAGGCUUCAACAGACACAGUAAUACACAGCUCCUCUAUCCAGAGUGGAGCCCUGCCACGAGAGGCCAGUGGACGAUCCCUCNAGGGAGUCCCGUGAUCUCGUACACGAUGGCGACGCACAGCAGGUGUCACGCGCCCGAGGAGGAGCUCUGGAGGUCCACGCUGCCGCCAGAGGAAUGACCAGAGGAAAGUAACGGGAGGGAGGGAGGCGGUCGCUGCUGGGGCGAAGAUGCUGGUUCAGGCGUAAGGCACGGGGAUUGCAAAUCAUAACUCGUCCGGUCUUAACAAGGCACCAGAGCCAAGAACAGGCUGUGUUUGAUCCCUCCUGUCCUAUAAGCCUUUAUUUUUGCAAUGAUAUGUGUUUAUUAGCCAGGUCUCCGCACUCACAUUCACCGGUGUGCCUUUCUCCCUCUGUGUCAUGGGUAAGGCUUCCAAAAGCGAAGAGAGGAAGAAAGGGAGAGAGAGAGAAGCCAUGGGAGCUUUCAAGAGUGUUUCCAUAGCAAUGCAGCAGCGUUGGAAGUAGAGAGACCCACAUGUAUUUAUUUGCAAAAGGAGAGAAGCUCUCCCUCCCUCCCUCCCUCCCAGUUUGCGUAGGUGUAUGCUCUAGAGUUAUAGACAUUUAUUUGGGAAGAAAGAAACGUUGCAGGCAGUUUCUGCAGCUCUGGAGUUUUGAUGGUUGGUUUUAAUUAACCAUUGUCUCGUAACAAAAGAGAGGAUCAUUCCUGGAGCCUGGAAUAAANGUAAGGAGCUGUGAUAGGUGCCA